AGUCCUGCAGUUGUAGAAACGUCAGAUUGCAAAUCUGAAGGCAGCGGGUUAACACCCGCCGGGGCUU
This 67-nucleotide transfer RNA is filed under the name Chlorophthalmus nigromarginatus. Its description in RNAcentral is "tRNA-Cys". It matches the Rfam family "tRNA". Rfam says of the family: Transfer RNA (tRNA) molecules are approximately 80 nucleotides in length. Lineage: Eukaryota; Metazoa; Chordata; Actinopteri; Aulopiformes; Chlorophthalmidae. The record is from RNAcentral.